This 440-nucleotide ribosomal RNA is filed under the name uncultured bacterium. Its description in RNAcentral is "bacterial SSU rRNA". It matches the Rfam family "Bacterial small subunit ribosomal RNA", at positions 338 to 775 of the family's 1533-position model. The record is from RNAcentral.
CCUACGGGUGGCUGCAGUGAGGAAUAUUGGUCAAUGGUCGGAAGACUGAACCAGCCAAGUAGCGUGAAGGAUGAAGGUUCUAUGGAUUGUAAACUUCUUUUAUACAGGAAUAAAGGCCACUACGUGUAGUGUUUUGUAUGUACUGUAUGAAUAAGCAUCGGCUAACUCCGUGCCAGCAGCCGCGGUAAUACGGAGGAUGCGAGCGUUAUCCGGAUUUAUUGGGUUUAAAGGGAGCGUAGACGGGAGAUUAAGUCAGUUGUGAAAGUUUGAGGCUCAACCUUAAAAUUGCAGUUGAUACUGGUUUCCUUGAGUGCGGUUGAGGUAUGUGGAAUUCGUGGUGUAGCGGUGAAAUGCUUAGAUAUCACGAAGAACUCCGAUUGCGAAGGCAGCAUACUAAGCCGCUACUGACGUUGAUGCUCGAAAGUGUGGGUAUCAAACAG